Molecule: long non-coding RNA, 329 nt
Organism: Carassius auratus (goldfish)
Lineage: Eukaryota; Metazoa; Chordata; Actinopteri; Cypriniformes; Cyprinidae
Exons: 3
Source: RefSeq, a predicted model, not a curated record
AUGAAAGCAGGCACUUGAGCAACUAUGUGUGCACCAAGUAAAAAGCACAAUGUAGGAGCAUUAGUAUGCUAAUGAGGUGCGGGGCGACAGGUGGCCUGCUAGACAGCUCAAUUAAGCAGCUCGUUAAAGGCCAAGCUAACGAAGCGGCCUGCACUGCAAGCCUCAACAAACAAUGUGACUGUGCAGGCUACAAAUUGCUUCCAGCGGAACAUUGAGAGGAUGUGCCACCCAUUUUUUAAAGAUGUUCAGGUUUUUGGUGAACAAUUAGUGUGAGGCUGACGGAGAUGGUCUCGACCCCUGGUUGCUGCGAACAUUAUAGGGAUGCAGAG